RNAcentral lists this ribosomal RNA (248 nucleotides) under uncultured bacterium. RNAcentral's name for it is "partial 16S ribosomal RNA". It matches the Rfam family "Bacterial small subunit ribosomal RNA", at positions 529 to 776 of the family's 1533-position model. The record is from RNAcentral.
AGGGUGCAAACGUUGCUCGGAAUUACUGGGCGUAAAGCGCGUGUAGGCGGCCCUGCAAGUCGGAUGUGAAAUCCCACGGCUCAACCGUGGAAGUGCAUUCGAAACUGCAGGGCUAGAGUCCUGGAGAGGAAGGUGGAAUGCUUGGUGUAGAGGUGAAAUUCGUAGAUAUCAAGCGGAACACCGGUGGCGAAGGCGGCCUUCUGGACAGUGACUGACGCUGAGACGCGAAAGCGUGGGGAGCAAACAGG